RNAcentral lists this ribosomal RNA (493 nucleotides) under uncultured bacterium. RNAcentral describes it as "partial 16S ribosomal RNA". It matches the Rfam family "Bacterial small subunit ribosomal RNA", at positions 30 to 523 of the family's 1533-position model. The record is from RNAcentral.
AUUGAACGCUGGCGGCAUGCCUUACACAUGCAAGUCGAACGGUAACAGGUUAAGCUGACGAGUGGCGAACGGGUGAGUAAUAUUUCGGAACGUGCCCAGUCGUGGGGGAUAACGUAGCGAAAGCUACGCUAAUACCGCAUACGAUCUACGGAUGAAAACGGGGGAUCGCAAGACCUCGCGCGAUUGGAGCGGCCGAUAUCAGAUUAGGUUGUUGGUGAGGUAAAAGCUCACCAAGCCUGCGAUCUGUAGCUGGUCUGAGAGGACGACCAGCCACACUGGAACUGAGACACGGUCCAGACUCCUACGGGAGGCAGCAGUGGGGAAUUUUGGACAAUGGACGCAAGUCUGAUCCAGCAAUGCCGCGUGCAGGACGAAGGCCUUCGGGUUGUAAACUGCUUUUGUACGGAACGAAACGGUGAGCUCUAAUACAGUUUGCUAAUGACGGUACCGUAAGAAUAAGCACCGGCUAACUACGUGCCAGCAGCCGCCGUAA